UACGUAGGGUGCGAGCGUUGUCCGGAAUUACUGGGCGUAAAGAGUUCGUAGGCGGUUUGUCGCGUCGUUCGUGAAAACUUGGGGCUUAACUCCAAGCGUGCGGGCGAUACGGGCAGACUUGAGUACUACAGGGGAGACUGGAAUUCCUGGUGUAGCGAUGAAAUGCGCAGAUAUCAGGAGGAACACCGGUGGCGAAGGCGGGUCUCUGGGCAGUAACUGACGCUGAGGAACGAAAGCGUGGGGAGCGAACAGG
This 253-nucleotide ribosomal RNA is filed under the name uncultured bacterium. RNAcentral's name for it is "partial 16S ribosomal RNA". It matches the Rfam family "Bacterial small subunit ribosomal RNA", at positions 524 to 776 of the family's 1533-position model. The record is from RNAcentral.